AGAAUGAACGCUGGCGGCAUGCCUAACACAUGCAAGUCGAACGAAGGCUUCGGCCUUAGUGGCGCACGGGUGCGUAACGCGUGGGAAUCUACCCUUAGGUUCGGAAUAACAGUUGGAAACGACUGCUAAUACCGGAUGAUGACGUAAGUCCAAAGAUUUAUCGCCUAGGGAUGAGCCCGCGUAGGAUUAGCUAGUUGGUGUGGUAAAGGCGCACCAAGGCGACGAUCCUUAGCUGGUCUGAGAGGAUGAUCAGCCACACUGGGACUGAGACACGGCCCAGACUCCUACGGGAGGCAGCAGUGGGGAAUAUUGGACAAUGGGCGAAAGCCUGAUCCAGCAAUGCCGCGUGAGUGAUGAAGGCCUUAGGGUUGUAAAGCUCUUUACCCGGGAUGAUAAUGACAGUACCGGAGAAUAAGCUCCGGCUAACUCCGCGCCAGCAGCCGC
RNAcentral lists this ribosomal RNA (444 nucleotides) under uncultured bacterium. Its description in RNAcentral is "SSU rRNA". It matches the Rfam family "Bacterial small subunit ribosomal RNA", at positions 26 to 518 of the family's 1533-position model. The record is from RNAcentral.